This 253-nucleotide ribosomal RNA is filed under the name uncultured bacterium. RNAcentral's name for it is "partial 16S ribosomal RNA". It matches the Rfam family "Bacterial small subunit ribosomal RNA", at positions 524 to 776 of the family's 1533-position model. The record is from RNAcentral.
UACGUAGGGUGCAAGCGUUGUCCGGAAUUAUUGGGCGUAAAGAGCUCGUAGGCGGUCUGUCGCGUCUGCUGUGAAAACUGGAGGCUCAACCUCCAGCCUGCAGUGGGUACGGGCAGACUAGAGUGCGGUAGGGGAGAUUGGAAUUCCUGGUGUAGCGGUGGAAUGCGCAGAUAUCAGGAGGAACACCGAUGGCGAAGGCAGAUCUCUGGGCCGUAACUGACGCUGAGGAGCGAAAGCAUGGGGAGCGAACAGG